Parelaphostrongylus tenuis is the source of this 72-nucleotide non-coding RNA. The record is from the annotation of a GenBank genome assembly. Lineage: Eukaryota; Metazoa; Nematoda; Chromadorea; Rhabditida; Metastrongylidae.
GGCGUUAGUGCAAUUGGUUAGCACGCGUCCCUGCAAUGGGUAAAAUGCGAGUUCGAUUCUCGUCUAACGUCG